UUACUUACCUGGACGGGGUCAAUAGGCGAUCAAGAAGGUCAAUGGCCUCGGUUGGUGACCUCCAUUGCACUUAGGAGGGGUGCCCUGUUUAUCACCGGGGUAACCCUUUACCCAAAAAAAAAAAAAUUAUACAGAACAUUGAAUUAAUAGUUGAAAUAUUUAAUAUCCAAAGUAGUUAGCAACAUCGUAGU
Molecule: non-coding RNA, 191 nt
Filed under: Helianthus annuus (common sunflower)
Lineage: Eukaryota; Viridiplantae; Streptophyta; Magnoliopsida; Asterales; Asteraceae
Source: RNAcentral